GGAGACAGGAGGAGCAUUGAUCUGGCAUAUGAGUAACAGGCCAAAACGGAGGGUGGAGGGUAUAUUUUGUUGUGGACAAGACUUUCUGGAGAAUACAGGUUGUUCCAUGAUUAGUGACCUUCAAAGGCAGUACUUCAGCUCGUUUCUUCAGCCUAGUCUGCUGUUAGAGGAAGACCGUCUUCUCAAUGACCUGACCUCGUCAUGUGUAGGGGAUCACUCACCUCUUAACUGUGAUUGCUCCAAGGCUGCAGGAAAAUUACAUUUUUUGAGAACUUCAUCCCAAAGGCCUGAGCAAUGUUGAGGCACAGAUCUCAGCUAUAUCAUGUUCCCAACACUCUCUCUUUGGAAGCCCGAAGAAAGAAAUGUGCUUGCAGCAUGACGGACAGAAAAACUGGUUCAGGCAAGUCAGAAGCUGUGGAAGAAAUGGAAAGAGAGAAUUGGAGCCAGAAAGUCUCAAAGAGGACAUUUUUUGCUGAUUUUUUUUGGAUGACUGCAUCAGUUUUGAGCACCUCGGAAAAAGCAAUUUGUUUUUCACUCCUGGCAUAUCGUGUUUGUUCAAAUAGAGCCAUUAAAAGUGUGGGCAUAAUAGUUCGUGAGGCAGCUUGUGACCCAUACCACUUUCUCUUGCCUUCUUCACCCUAGUUAAACUUUAGAAGCUUCCCACAUUAUUCUCAAGUGCUUCUUGCAGGGCAACAGUUGGUUUUCAUUGAACUUGGAAUGGAAAACGUGGACAAGUUCUGCAAACUCUUUUGAGAACAGAGAAAUGGGAAAAUGAAGAACAAUAUUUCUCUCUGUAUCAAGAACAGCUGUCACACUAUGCCAAGCACACUAAUGAAAAAAUUAGUAAUAAACAGUUAGCAGUGUAUCUUCAAGAGAAGUGUAACCAACUUACGUGUAGAAAAUAAAGAACUACAAACUAAUGAAGAAAAAUAUAUAGUGUUACAUCCAAACCAGUCAAGCUGUGCAGGGAAAGAAAGGCUAUCCAUUUCUGUCCUGUAAGCCAUGGCACUUUCAUUUGUAAAUUUUCCCUGCUUUUCUCUAUUUUUUAAAAUUGUCUCAUCUAGGCAGCUGGGUCUCUUUUAAGUGAUAGAAACUACCUAAAUGUCAAGAACAUGCUUCAGAAUAAGGAGAUUUAUGCUUAUGACUGUCUCUUUUCCAUAUCUAGUAUGCUAUUUAUCUAGAGUUGUGAUCAUGGAAUCAUAGAAUGGCCUGGGUUGAA
Gallus gallus (chicken) is the source of this 1219-nucleotide long non-coding RNA. RefSeq lists it as uncharacterized. The transcript is spliced from 5 exons. The record is from RefSeq and is a predicted model, not a curated record. Lineage: Eukaryota; Metazoa; Chordata; Aves; Galliformes; Phasianidae.